This 253-nucleotide ribosomal RNA is filed under the name uncultured bacterium. Its description in RNAcentral is "partial 16S ribosomal RNA". It matches the Rfam family "Bacterial small subunit ribosomal RNA", at positions 524 to 776 of the family's 1533-position model. The record is from RNAcentral.
GACAGAGGGUGCAAACGUUGUUCGGAAUUACUGGGCGUAAAGCGCGUGUAGGCGGCUUGGCAAGUCCGGGGUGAAAGCCCCCAGCUCAACUGGGGAAGUGCCUUGGAUACUGGUAAUCUUGAGGGAGGUAGGGGCAUGCGGAACUUCCGGUGGAGCGGUGAAAUGCGUAGAUAUCGGAAGGAACGCCGGUGGCGAAAGCGGCGUGCUGGACCUCUUCUGACGCUGAGGCGCGAAAGCCAGGGGAGCAAACGGG